UGUGCCCUCUAAUGGCCUGGUGCGAAAUACCAGACCUACAACAGAGGAAAGAUGUGAGGACGCGGGUCAGAUAUGAACAGGCCAGUCUCAGAAGACCUCCGGCUCAUGAGGUUGUGGGAAUCUGAAGAUCAAAAUCCUUUGUCGGGACAUCUGUUCAUCAGAAUAAGGCAUUGUUGAUAAAAGAACAAUACUCUUAUUCUUCCACAAGGGGGCUUGCUCAAUCAAGACUUCAUACAGCUGAAACCCUCAGGAAUUGCAUGAAAAAGAGCAACCAACACCAUUUUCACAGUCUCUCCUCUUUAUUCCAUUGAAAAAAGGUCACACAGGUCUGAAACGUAAUUAAGGAAGUCUAAAGGAAUCCACAGAGAACCGACGAUGCUCCAUGGAGAUGAAGCUUCAUGUUCAGAAUGGACUGAAGUAGCAACGUCUUAAAGAAUCCUUUAUAUUCAAAUGGGAGUCGAGAAAAAUGGCACAUUACCCAAAUGGCUGGAUGUAGCAAAGGAACCCUGGGAAAAUCUAUAAAAGGGUUGCAUGUUUACAAUAGGCCCGUAUAUUUCUGACUGUGCCCUUUCUAAUGCCCCUUUUUAAUUACUGUGAGAUUAAACGUUGCCUGUAAACCCCUCUCAAUCAAUCAAAGUGGGCCCCGAGGUCCUGAAAGUCAUUGGAAUAGCAGUCUGCACAUGGAGAUAUGUGAAUUAUAAUCAACAAGCUGUGGAACUGAGGUCUCGUGAAGGUCCUUACUAAACAAGCUCUUUAAUGAACAACAGUAGCGGUGGAUGUGUGGAUGUGUGGAUGCAAGUGUACGUAUCACAACCGAACUCCUUAGAUGAAAUUAGCUGAGUAAUGAUCAAUAUCUAAUAUUAUACCCCAGGCUUGAUAUAGUAACCCAUGGUCACCUUCCAAGCUUCUUUCUAUCAGCCACCCUAUCAUUAACAAUUCAGGUCGCGUUUACUCCAGACAUGUAUCAAUUGAGUAUUUCCUCCAUAGCUGCAUUGUUGCUUAGCUACAAUAAAACAAACAUCCUCACGGCUUAUUGAAUGUGUGUAGUGACAGGUGUCAGCUGCUGAGAUGUAGUUAGGAUGUUUUAUUAAUGUUUCUGUUAUUAUUGAUACAUGAAACAUAUGUUUAAAGGAAUUGUUCACCCAGGAAAUUAAUGUUCUGUUUUGUUUAUAUCCUUCCAAUCCUGCGUGAGGGCUUUUGUAAAUUAAUC
Molecule: long non-coding RNA, 1210 nt
Organism: Puntigrus tetrazona (Sumatra barb)
Lineage: Eukaryota; Metazoa; Chordata; Actinopteri; Cypriniformes; Cyprinidae
Exons: 3
Source: RefSeq, a predicted model, not a curated record